AUAUAUAUAUAUAUAUAUAUAUAUAGUAUUUUAUUUAUAUAUAGAAAUAUUAUUAUAUAAUAUUUUAUUUAUAAAUUUGUAAUUAUUUAUUAAUAUUUUUAAAUAUAUAACUCUUAUAUAUUAUUAGUAUAUGUUUAUUAUAAUUUUAAAUAUAUUUAAUCUAUAUAUAAAUAUUAUAAUAAUAAUAUAUAUAGUAUAAUAUCGAAUUUUUAAAAAGUAUAUAUAAAAAUUAUAUUUGAUCCCGAAUUUUUAAUUGGUGAACGUAUAAUACUCGUAUAAAUCACGUAUCCGAAUAACUACCGAAUCCAUUUUUUAGCCGUAUUUUUCAACGAAUUUAAAAAUUAAAAGACGAAUUUUAUCCGAAUUAUAUCCGUACCGAAUUUUUGCCGAAUCCGAAUUAACUAACUAUGCCUCCAGCCACCAAGGUUGGUUUAACUACAAUUGAUCUCAUCCGUUCAUCUGCUCGCUCCCGAUGUGCUUAAUUAAUUAAUUAAUAUUUGAAGGGCAAAUAAGAAAAGUAUUUGCUAUAUGAAGGGUAUAUAAGAAAAGUUAGUUACGGUAGAAGGGUAUAUAGGAAUGGGCAAAAUAUUAAUUUUUCAGAGAUAACGGCAACUCACUAACGGAACUUAACUCCAGGGAUAUAUUAGAAAGACUUGGAACAUAAGAAGGAUAUUUUCAAUAUUACCCUUUUAAGAGGGGUAAAUAAAAAAAUCGGGAACUUUUCAGGGGUAUACAGGCAAUUGCCCCCAAAAGCUAAAAGUUCAUAGGCCUCUCUAUGUACGCUUCACCCAGAAAAGGGAAAAUGUAUAGUACUAGAAAAAUGAGCAUAAAGCAUAUAUCUGCUUUCUCUUUCAUGCUAAGAGCUACUACCUAUUUGCACCAUCUAAAAAAACAAAAAACAGAUUUAAGAUAACAUACUUGCUCAACUUCUAAGGUUUCUUUAUAUGAACCGUAUACAGUAAGCAUUCAAUCUGACAAAGUUUCUCUACAAGUACAACUUCUAUUUGAUUAUACAGAGGCCAAAAAACAAAAAACAUGUUUUGAGCACAGCACAAUUCCGCUAAGAAAGUAACCGUCAAACUGCGUGAAAAUUUAACUUGAUCUACUACACAAGAUGGCAUCACAUUUUCUUAAACUACCAAAGAAACAUGAGUACCUAAUGAUUAGAGAGAGAGAAGAAGUCACACCUUGCAGAUCCUGAACAUCUCGAGCUCCAAUUGGCGUAGAGUACCUUGCAUCGACCGAAACACCAGCACUUCCAGAGUUCUGGUACCAUGAAAGAAGAUGCAACAAUUCAGUUUUCAAAUGAUGUUCAACUAUGUGUAAGUAUGUGAUAUUUGAUGUAAUAUUGCGAUGAUUAUUCAUGACCGAAUUCUCUGCUUAGAAACUACUGCACAUCAGGCCUAAGUUUUCAGGUACUUACUGGACUCAGCAGCUUUAGAUUGGAGAAUCUUAAGUUGUGCAGAAUCACUUUGCUACAAUAUAUUGAUGGCUAUGAACAUAAUGAACAAGAUACUGGAUCGCAACUAAUUCCUUCAACCAUCGGCUCAGGCUGAUAAAAACAGAGGUUUCACUGGCAUACCACAUGUUGGAGGUAAAUUAUAAUUUAGGCCUCACGAACACUAAUGGAGAUAUGAAAAAUUCAAACACAAACAAAAUUAAGCAGAGAGAUAGUUUAGAAGGACGCCAAUUUUGGAUUGCCUGGACUGUCGCAAGCAUUUGAAGCCUUGGUAGUUAAUUUUCGGUUCACAAGUGUAUUCAUGUAAAUCUUGGAGCUGUAAAUAAUUUUUUACAGUAGUAAAUUGACCUCAUCAAUAGGUUAAGCUAACCUGUUGCCAUUUUCAAAACGAAAAAAUUAAGAGAAAAAGAAAAAGAAAAAAAAAAACUAUAAUGGAGAUAUCAAUUUGAUCCCUCGACUCUUUGUUGGUAUAAAAAAUAACAUAACAAAAUAUACAAAGGAUUAAUUUUCACAAGUAGUAGAAAGCAAAGCAGAAGAAACUGAAGUGUGCAUUAGAUACCUCCAAAAGCUUUCGGAGAUUCACAUAUAGAAAUAAAGCAGGACUAAGUUGGCCUUAAUAAAUGGAUGAUCAUUUGCAUGUGUAAAUUGAUGACAAUGCCUUCCCUUUCUUUCAGGAAAAGAGACCUAUAAGCCUUUACAAUAUGAAGUAAAUGUAUGAAAGAAAGAAAAGAGGGAUAAGAGUGAACUACUUCAAGUGACAGAUGGAUCCACUUCUCUCAGUUACUGCCAGAUGAAUCCAAUAUUUUUGCUCCUUGUAUAUAGAAAUAUUUUAUAAAGGUAUACAAAAAAUGAGGUUGUUAUCUUCCCAACUGCCUCCAACCUGCACAAAAUAAAAGGAUCAUAGAAAUUACCAUUCCAUACUUUUCAAUAGUUCCAAUUCAAUACUCAUAUCAAUUUAUCAUUCCAUAAUAAAAGGAUGAAAUAUGAAGAUCAUUUCACUUAUCAUUUACCUACCAUGUAAUACUCAUUACUAUGAUGUGCAAUCUGUGCUUAGCAAUUUGAUUAUCAGUAAGAACCCAAACAGAGAAAUAUAUGUAUGAUACCACUUGAAAUAAUACAGGCAUUGUUCCAUGCAAUUAGGGCCUAUUUGGCGGGGCUUAAGCUUCUGCAAGAGAGUCAUAUUGAGCAAUUGGAAAAAGCAUUGACAGCUUUUUAAUUAAAAUCACCCCAACAACAUCCAAUUGCAGUAGAAGCAGACCUUUCAAUUGCAGUUUCUAUUUGUGAGUCCCAAAAGCUCAUUUCAGGUUAGCAGCCGCAAACGAACAAGAACUAUUCUUUGCUUAACCCUAAAUACUUCUCACAAGUAGAGCUGAUUCCAAAUCUCUGCGAAAAAGGCAAUUUGUCAUUUAAGCAUCUUUUCACUGGAUAAUCUCGUACCAAAGGUUUCCCUUGGCAAUUAGUCUGGGGAACGCUUUAAGGGCUGUUUGGUACUGAGGUCCAUCUAAUGCUAAUAGAUAAAAUGAAGUUGGGGCAAAAACAUAUAGGAAAAUGCUUCUGUGUUCUCCAGUAGGACUGCAGAAAAUAUAUUAUAACCAAUUCAUUGUGAUAUGUGGAACGUGAUAUUAUAUAUGGAAACAAAAAAGAUAUUUUCUCAUCGUACUUUUCCACUGCACAUAACGCAAUCGUCCCGUAAUCCCAAACAGAGCCCAAGUGUUUGUAAAAUGUAAAUGAACAUUUUUGGGGAAUCCGAGUACCAUACAUAAAUAUGAAAAUUAACAAUUUAAAUUCUAACAAAUAGCUUCAACAAAUAAAAAAUGAGCUAACCUAAUGCACAAUCAGUGAGAAGUGUUUUUUGUUUCGUUGUUUCCAAAAAAAACUCACCAUUUGUGAACAAGUAAGAGAAAAGAAGUUCAUUCCAAGCAUCUGGAACUCCAGGGAGACACCAGUGGCUGCAAUCCAGAUCGGGAGAAGGGUAAUUCCAAGUGCCAAUAUGAGCAUCACUUCGGAACAAACCCAUCGAAGUAACGUUCAGCAAAGUCACGGGAACUCUCAUAUUGGUAACCACAUCAUUGAGAAUUUUACCAAAUUCACUCUUGUCCUCAAAAGAUGGCUGUUUCGAUACAUUGCACCCCUUUCCGUUUGAGCCACUAAGUUACCACAAAAACACAAAAAGCUAGCAAUUAUAUUAUGAAGGAAAACAUACAGACAAUCCAGGACCUCUAGCGCAUUUUGAAAUGAGUGCCUAAACUUUUGACAGCAUUUUUGUGGUACAUUUUAAGAUGUUUCAUGUAUAGAUGAACUUCAUGAUUUAAUGCCUUCAACCAUUAAAGCUGUCAUUCAUCAUAACGCAUCCAGAUUUUACCUGCUCUUUUGAGUGGCAACAGGCUUUAUAUGUUCUAAUAAGUUGGAUCAUCGUAGGCUUUACCUACACUAAACUUAUUUUCAUCUGAACUUUGCUGUUGUAUUUGGUUCUAGUUUCUAGAUGAUGCAUUUGCAAUAUGUGCCCUGUUUCCAACAUUUUUUUAAUAUUUUGCAGAAAUUUCCAAUUCAAUGAAACACCCCCAAAAAUUGCCAGAAAUUAAAGAGAUGACAGUUUAUUAUGAUUUCCAUACUGAAACUUAAAUUCGACCUAUCUUCAUAUUUUCUUUAUGCUGACACUUAUAGGUCUUCUAGCAGGUUUCAUGUAAUUUCACCAAAUCAACAAUCUCUUUUAGAGAUCGAAUGUACUUUAUUUGAUAUUGCCAUGUUGCCAUCAAAUGGAUCUUGCAGCAGUAUCCACUCUUUUCUGCCUUUUGCAUUCAGGACACAUCACUGACCUUUGAAUGCGAAAGGAGUAGGUUUCUGGACCAAAAGGAUCUGCUGAUAAAACCUCCUCAGUGUAGAAAUGCGACAGUAAAUUAUCUUAAAAUUCGAGGGGUCCAACACAAUGAAUGUGCAUUGUAUCCGCCUUAACAUUUUCUAGAAACUUGUCUUACCCUUCCAUAGAACCUCAAACAUCACUGCAUAAAAACUAGCAUCUACUUAUCAGGUGCAAACUUCUGUUUUUUUUUUUGUUUUUGUUUUUUUUUUUUUUGGUGAAAAGUUGAGGUGAACUUUGCAUGUCAGUUCCGAAUCCAGUGGUUAUAGAAGAACUAAUGUCAUUCCUGUAAUCCAGUGGAUAUAGAAAACAAACUAAGUUGCAGUUCCAGAGACUUCAAGAAUGUUUUGGAACAAAUGAGAUGCGCACCUCCAAUGAGAAGGCUCAUAAGUCCUGAAAAAGACUUGAGUUCUAUUUGUGUCUACGAUCUUUUCUACCCACGACGCCCAAGUGUGCAAAGCCAUUCUAAAGGCAGCAUUGAUGGGCAUCCCAAGCUUGAGUCGUCCUCCGGCCUGGAAAUGGCGACCCCUGUUGAAAAAUCCGACGUGAAAAUAGUAUAAGGAAACAAUAUAAACAUCAUAAGGCAUUAUUCAUAACCAUAUACGUUUUAUAAGAACAAACACUAUGCAUUCGCUUUAGCUUCUAAGUCACGAAGCUCAAACUAUAUAAAUGUUUUGUCCAUAAUUAGUACAGGCAAAUCAUGCAGCAAAGCAUACCAGAGUCACAACAUACACCUUAGAACAUUCAGAUUCCCGGGAGUGAAAUGUUAUUAAUUACCUGUUUAUUUUUUGAAUCUUCUACAUAUUAAUCAAAUUUUACGCAAAUUAUGAAUCAAAAAAUUUCAUAGAAAUUUAGAAGAAAAGGAAACGGAUGUUGCACAAUGACAGAAAUAGUACAGAAAUCUUGCUAACAAGUAAAAAGACACCUUAGAUCUAUAAAGAGAAGUUGUUUUUUGCAGUACAAACUACUACAUUCAUAAAUGUGUUAUCAAGAUAGGCAGAAACUUUGAGCUACAAAUAAAGUGAAAGAAUUGAGAGCCAAAAAGUGCGCAACUUACACAUGAAACAGUUUACUUCGAGUCCACCAAUGGCCAGAAUUGAAUACAAGAAUAUCCGAAUCAACCCACUUACUACUUAUCUCAUCCACCUUGUCCAGCUCGAGUAUCGCCCGGACCCUUCUAGGCCCGUGCUUCGGCGGCGAACCCUGCCGCACCAAGAACACAGAGCGGAAGAACUCCACACUAAGAUUAUAUCUCUCAAACCUAACACCCAAGAAGCGAACCGUCUUUGUGAUCUCACUCCCGUUCACCUCAUAAACGUUCCCUGGAUCUCCCACCCCACUCAUAAGCAUACAAAUCAAAGACUCCCACUGCGUCCGGCUCAUCGAGUCGCCCACGAAAACAACACGUUUCCCCCUAACCGAUUCGAGCACAUUAUGAGGACUAAACUUGGGCAAAUCGCAAUGCCGAGGCUUCCACCUCAAUUUAAGAUACCCACUAUCCUUUCUCCCAUUUGCCAAGCAAUUGAAACCACGCUCCGCAAAAGGGCAUUUUGAGCUAUUAUACAGCGGGUAUGAAUCAUCGAAAACCCAAUCACCAUCAAAUACAUCACAAAAACCCUUCUUGAUGAUGAAUCCAGAUAACAAGCUCCCCCUACAGGGGAAUCGACGCAAAUAGAGAUGGAUAACUGAUCCAAUAACUACAGCAGAAGAAACUAUGAAGAAGAUUAGGGCAAUAGAGUCAAAUACCAACCCCGAAACCCACGAUUUCCGAGUCCUACUCAUUUCCCCCCAAAUCCACGAUCAAACCUACUUAAUUGAAACAAGAAAUCGGCGAUAACAUACGAAACGAAGAGGAAAUUGGAGGGGAAAAGAGGCGUAACCGGAUUGAGGGGGCGAUUCGUUGAUGAUUCUUCCUUGUUUAUAGUCGAAUCGGAGAAACCCUAAUCCUAGAUGUUGAGAUCGCACGCGCAUGCACACACUCUUUCUCUUUCCCGCUCCCGCGCGCGAAGAAUUUGGCGGGGGCGCGGGAAGAGAGGGGUGGGUCCGGUUGGUAGUCCACCGACCGAGGGUAUUUUCGGUGUUUUACGAUUAGUUUAGUUCUUUUUCUUUUUCUUUUUUUCUUUUUUUUUUUUUUUUUUCUUUUCAGAGCCCACUGUAUCUGCUACGGAUUGAGGGAAGGGGAUCGCAAAAUAGAUAGUAUUUUCUAUGUGAGCUGAUUGUGUUAGUGGAGCACCCGGUAGUAGGGGUGUAAACGAGUCCAACACGAGCGAGCUAAGAUCGACUUGUGUUCAGCUCGUUUAAUAAACGAGUCGAAUAUGAGCUGACUCGUUAAAAUAUCGAGCCGAAAAAUUCAGUUCUUGUUCGGCUCGUCAAUAAACGAGCUGAACACGAGCUGGCUCACGAGCUGGCCAACAAACAAUAAGUUAAAAAAAUUAGAUUGAAUAUAUAUAAAAAAUAAUUUUAUAAAAUCUUAUUCAUUAGAUUUUGAUUUAAUAAUUGAAAUUUUACACAUAAUGAGUCCUUUUAUAAUUAAGCUCGUAUUUAUAUUGUUAUUUUGCUAAAAAUUAAAUAAUAAAAAUAUAUUAUAUAUAAUUAUUUAUUUAUAUAUAAAAAUAUAAAUUAUAUAAAUAUAAAAUAUAUGUAUUCGAGUUGUUAUCGAGCCAAACACGAGCGAGCUGACCCAGCUCGUGCAGCUCACUCGUAUUCGGCUCAUUUAGUAAACAAANGAAAAAUUCAUAUUCGGCUCGUUUAUUAAACGAGCGAUUCGAUUUCGAGUUUAUUUCGAGCUGAAUACAAGCUGGCUCGCGAACAGCGAACCGGAUUGCCACCCCUAUCCAGUAGUGACUAGUUUUUGAAAGAUUAUAUUAUAAAUAUUAGGACUGACUAGGCUAGUUUUUAUUAUGUUUUAUUUUCAUGAGAGGUGACGGUGUAUACAUUACGAAUCAUGUAUGCACAGUAUGAUUUUAUGCUAUAGUUUUAUUGAUGUCAGCUCUGAUAUUUAUUGUAGUAGAUAUUUAAUUAUAUUUUGCAGGUUUAGACGCAUCGUGUGCAUAGGGCUCUCCGUACAUGCGGUGAAUUUAUUGGUGCGCCCAAAUUUCUGCUGCAACGCGGGACGUGGCAGAUUAAAUUAAACACGAGCUAACAUCAUAAGUAAUGCAAUCUUGUAAGUUGUUCUACGUAGUGGUAGUUUAUUGGUUGGUACUAGGAAUGUAAAUGAUGCCCGAUCCGGCACGUCCUCGAGCCGGGCUACAGCGCGAUGCGAAUACUGUAGCCUCCGUGUCAGACAGACCCGGCCCAAGCCUUCUGGCCAUGUUGGGCCACUCCUCUGGGGCCCGACGAUCCAGCGCGGCACGGCUCGAAACGUGCUUGAACCGUACCGGGUCGAGAAGAGGCGGGUGGCCCGGUACAACACGGCUCGCUUGGGCCAUGCCAACCGGGCCAGCACGGCCCAGUCCCCCAAGGCACAAGUGCCUUAGGCCUUGGGGCCUAAGCUUCUAGGGAGAAGGGCAAAAGCUCUCCUCCCAGGGUCUAACCUUGGAAUGAGUGAUUUUGGUCCAAUAAACUAAAGAAUUUUGAUUCAUUAGAUCAAAAUCUCAUUUCAUUUUUUUUUCUCAAAAAAAAAAAAAAACAAAUUUAUUAAUUUUUUAAAAAAAAUAAAUAUUUACUAUAUUAUAAUUAUUUUUAUAAAUUUUUAACGAUUUAAUCAAAAUAUUAAUUUAAAUAAAAAUAUUUAUUAUUUAUAUUUUAAAUUUUAUACUAAAUUUUUAAAAAAAAUAUAUAAAAAUAAAUACUUUAAGAGCCCGGCCCGAAGCACGGCCCGGCCCGGCACAGCCCGUGCCUUCCAGGCCGAAGGGCCAUGCCGUACCGGAGGCUAGGCAGCUCGACUUGCCAUGGCCCAACCCAAAAUAGAAGCCGGGCCGUGCCAGGCCGGGCCGGGCUGGCUACUAGCCUGUUUCGGCUUUCAGUACAACCCUAGUUGGUACUAUCACAUGAAAAAUUCUAGAAUACAAUAGGUAUAUUGGUGACGUAGCGUAACAAGCCAAUCAAAUAUUUCGUUUUAGGGAUAUAUGUCCCAUCAUGAUUAUAAAAAAAUAUUUUUAUUAUAUUUUUGUUUGAAAAGAAAGAAUGUGAUUGACUUGUUAUUGAUGACGUGGUGCCAGUGUGAUAGUGUAGAAUUCCUCCUAUCACAUAUAUUGGACAACCUGGUUUAUAGAGGAUCCAUUACCAACCACAAGAAAGUUUGUUGACAAGUUAUUCCUUUUUUUUUUUUNUAUUCUUUUUUUUUUUUACUUUUACUGUAGCAAGUAAACUUCUAGAAAGGCCAUUAAUUGAAACAGUACUUAGUAAAUAAAGAGGCUACAGUUGUUUUAAUUUUAAUAUCAUCAUAUAUAUUAAAACUAAUUUUUGGAGGUAAAAAACAGAAGCUUUAAUUUAAAUUCUUCUUUAAGUGGCUCUACUCUCCAUUAAUUUCGAAAAUAGGAUUGUUAAUUAUUCCUUGAACAUGGUCAAAACAACAGAAUCAUAUAAAAAUGGUUUUUGAAAAAUUUCUUAAUAUAAUAUUAUUUAGUCGAAAUUCAUAAUCAUUCAACAUAACUUCAACUAAUUUUGAGGACUUAGUGAUGUUUGGUUUCUCAAAAAGUUGUGGAAAAACUAUUUUCUAAAAAAAAAAAAAUCAUGAAAAACAUUCUUUCCAUAGCAAAAAUCAGCAAAAAAAAAAGAAACCAGAAAAACUAGUCUUAUAAAUCGAACGAACUUAAAAUCAGUUUGCGAUGCAACUCAUCCAACCAUUUGUACUCUGCUCAUUUCUGUACCAAGAGAGGCUUAAAGAACAUCUAUGCGAAAAGGAACAUGCACAAGAAGAACCCAACAGAGGGAUACGAACAAAAACAUUGUGACAAAUCUCCCCGCAGAGAAUCGGUCUAAUCAACAAUAUCAUUGCUUUACGAUUCGUUGUGUCGAACGGCCGACUAAACCGUCUAUUAGUGGGAGGCUCCCCAUAUAUAAAUUUUUUUCCAAAAUAUACGUAGGGAUGAAGAAACUAAAAUUUACAUCAAUUCCGCAAAGCAUUCAACUUCCAGCUCUUAAUUGAUGGCUAUAGGGGUAAUUCUCUUCUUGGUAGGCUUAUUCGGUGCGGAGUUCUUGGUUGACGUUGAUGAUGGUUGUGUUCCUUCCCCGGCCUUUGAAUCUGUCUCCUUGUCGACUUUGCGCCCAAUAUCUUCCUUGUCGACUUCCAUAUUGUCCACCAUUUCAGGCUUCAGGCUGCUCAUAUUUGCAUUCCCUUCCACAGAUUUCUUUUCAUCUAUACCCCACAAAAAAAAAAGAAGAAAAAAAGAAUGAAAGAGAUCAUUUAAGGAUGAAGUUCAAUCAAAACAUCAAUUGCAACAAGAACCUAAUCGUGCUUCCGUGUUCAGCAAUUCACUAAGUAAAAAGAAAAUGAAAGUUAAGGAGUAAAAUGUGAUGGCAGUCCUCAAACCUUCAACAAAUUGCAAUUUGGCGGCUAUUAGUCAAUUUAAAGUAGAUUAGGAUGUACUCGGAUACCAUGUUAUGAAUAUCACGACAAGUGCAAUAACUAAACAGUUUAAGCUAAUUAUUGAGCGAAUUGCAACUCAUUGAAAGUUCAGGUAAUAGCCUGAGUAGAAAAAUAUGUAAUUUCUCCUAAGUAUAUAAUAUCUUUUGCCUGUCUAUACCUUACACUAAGAAUCUUACACAACAUUCCUUUUUCCUGUUCCCAUGAGCUUUCCUAUUAAUUUUGGCAAACCAAUGUCCUCUGAAUGUUAAUUGCUAUUAAGAGACUAAUUAUAGGAUUGAGGGGAAACGGUGAAGUCGGUCUAAUACACUGCCAUAAUAAGAGAAUAAGAGCAAAAUUGCACAGGGAAAUCAUGCACGACAAGCGUCAAAAGGUCAGUAGGUAUCUUCUCAACUAGCAUACUAGUGUCCUAUUUUGUCCUCAUAAAGUAAUAUGUGAUGUCUUCAGCAUCUUCACAACUUCAUCGAGCAUCUGAAGAACAAAAGCUUUAACCAUCAAAGAUUACCUGAGAUCGUAUAAGUCUGUCCAAGCUCGUCAUUCUCAAAUUCUAUAAUAGUACAAUACCCAUCUCGUGACGACAAUGCAAGGUGCUUCGCGUCAGACGACCUAGCAUGAGUAAAAUGGUAAAUCACUUUGGACCAAAAAAAUUAAAUUUUACAUACAUACCCCUAUGAAAUUAUGUUUAAAAUAAAUUAAUUACAUAUAUACCAUAAAAAAUAAAUACCCUACGACUAACAAAAACGCCCAUCUUAGAUAACUAUUUUUCGAUGACUCCCCAGCCUUAGAAAAGGGUUCUCUUUUUGGGGCUAAAAAACUGCAGUUUCCGGGAGUAUUUAUAAUGUUUCAGAUUUUAUAGAGGUAAUAUAUAUAAACAGAUUACUUGUGCAGAGGUGUAUGUGCAAAAGCCCCAGCAAAAAAUCAUCCACGGACCAAUAAAAGACAAAUUCAAAGUCCACAGAAAUCUUAAAAAGUGAAAAAAAAACAUUUGCUGCAGCAAGGCAUAUUGAGAAGGUACUGACCAAGUGAUAUCUGUGAUGGCUGCAUAGUGAAGUCCACCAAACACUGCUAUUGGGAGGGAGCUUUCGGUAUCGUAAAUGUAGAGAGAAUUCAAAGUAGCCACAGAAAAAAUCACUCUAUAAGGAAGCUUAAAGAAACCAUCUGCCAUUAUUUAAUACAGCUGAUUCAGACCCCAUAACAUGAUAAAAACUUGAACAACAUCAUGUUAAAAGGAACAGAAUAAGCUACAGUAUUUGUUAAGCCACCUGAUUUGGAACCUCGUAGAUUGAAAAGAACAGGGCAGAAUCGAACAGCCACAAUGGGUUUGUUAGCACCUGGGAGUUGUACCGCAGGCCUACAAAAUUAGAAACUACUACAUUUCAAAUUAUCUAUUUUACAUACAUCCUAGGAAAAUCUGAAUUUCUAUGUAUACUUCUUAAAAAGUUAAUUCUCAUGUAUGUAUUAUUGUACGUAAAAAAAAUUAUCCAUUUUCAAAGAACUUUUUCUAAUACAAAACCAACAAACAUACAUGAAUUGGAUGGUGCCCUAACUUAUAGGUAUUUUGCUAAAAAAUUGCAUAUUCCAGGUGCACAUAUAAAAAUUCAAAUUUGCAGGGGCGAAAUUUGCUAUGGCAGCUGGACUACAAGAAUGAGAUUGUGGUCUGUCCUAUAUGAGCUAACGCAUAAGGGCACAACUGGAGUUGAAAAUGCAGUGUAGUUCCAUUUACAAAGUGACCAACUAGAAUUGGAUUUACCGAUAGCAAUAUGUACAAGUGGUGUAAAGCAAGUGCAAUUGGGAUUUGAGAACUUGAAAAGUCCAAAUUCUUGCAUCCCCUUUGAAACAGGAUUUCCUCAUUCAUAGAAAUACUGAAACAUAUAGAACAUAGUUCUUCCAAGUAAUAUGGCGAGUAGAUUAAGAUGAACUUAGUUAUAUCUAAAAAUGUGCUAGUAUUGUUACCUUGAAAGAUCUCUCCUAGACAGUAUAUAAGCAGUGUUAAAUGCUUCCGAUGCAGAAGAACAUUUGUAUAUACCUGAAAAUUUUAUUUAGACAGAAUUUACAUCAGUGAAUAGGAUCAACAAAGGCAAAGAAUAGUGGUUCAAGUUGUGCAAUUGUUCAUUAAAAAGAAAAAAGGAGAAAAAGUAUGAAGGCUUUAUAAUGUUUCCCUUGCUCACCAAUCAUUCCAUCUAGAACUUGCAAAAUGCAAAUGAAAGUUAAUAUGUAACAAUUAAGCUGAAUCAAAUUAUCAAAUUAACAAAGGUUAGGUUAACUUGCUUGCUAGAGUAGAAGCCAGACAACGUACCAGUUGAACAGUCACUAAUGUGCAAUAUAUAACAGAAUGCAUAACAUCGAGGUAUACUCAAAUGUAUGAAUGAUCAAAGAGAAGCAAUUUUCAAACUCAUUAAAGGACAAAAUAUAUUGAUGAUAUGAUAAAAAUAUCGAAAAAUAUGUGCUAGUAAAACAAGUUUACACCUGUACCUGCCGGGACUACCAAAAAUGAUCCAUCAGGCGACCAUGCCAAUCGCCGGAAGAAGGAAGGCAAUGUUUCAUCAUGAAACAAAUGAGUUUUAGGUGGCAGAUGCUGAAAUAAAGAAGUUGCACAAAACAUUAUUCUUAAAUAUAUGACCAAAAAAUGCAACUAAUGACAUAGAUUGCAAACCUUUGAAUCAUCAAUAUUUUGGGGCUCAAACUUUGUCAGUGUAUAUUGGCACAUGAAGUUGAUUUUCUCAAAGCCUUUUGAUUUGGCUUGAGGCUUAUUUGCAUAUACCCGUAAAGUCCUAUCUGAGCUAAGUGAAGCAACAUACUGAUCCAAAGGAUCCCAGGCAACACCCUGAACAUAAUGCAAAUGGGCAUCUAAAAUUUGAUGGACUGAACCUGAAACAAAUUAUCCAUAAAUAAUAUGUUGUCAGGCAUUCCAUAAUCCAAACAGGAAAAAUAUAAUGGGGUCUUUUAGUUUGUUCCUGCAAAAGCAUCUAUUUACACAUAUACCCCUGAAAAACCUGGUUUCUAUAUAUACUCCUUCAAAGUGCAGUUUUCUACAAAGAUGCCCUUAUCUAAUUCAUGGGUGGAAGUUGGUUUUCUAUUGAGUACAAAGGGUAUAUAUCUAUGAAAUUACGUUUUUGAAGAGCAUAAUGCAAAUUCAGGUUCUGUAUGGAUAUGUGUGUAAGUAGAUACUUCAACAGGAGGACAUAAAUAUCCCAACAAAAUUUGCCUAUCAUUGAUACCUUUAUUAACAUCCCAUAUUAUGCAAGAGUUAUCAACUGAACCAGAAAUGAGGUAAGCAGCAUCAGCAGACCACUGAAGGUCAAGAACAUCCUUCCGAUGAAAUCUGAUAAAAGACAAAACAAGAAGAGUACAAUAACUCUUGCAAGAAAACAGUAUUUCCAUAGAUAAUUUUCACAUGGAGGAUCUUACAAUAAUGACUUGAGUACUUUCCAUGUAUGGCCAUCAUCUGUUGAAUGUAGUUUCCAGAGGACUAAUUCACCUCCUAAAAAAUUGAGGAAGAAACAGAAGCAUAACAAUUUAUAUUCUCCGACAAGAUGCUAAUUCUACAUAAAGCAUUAACUUAUUUUCAAAAAACAAAUAAUAAAAUGAUAAUAUGAUAAUAAAAUGAACCAAAACAUACCAUCGGCACCAGAUGCAAGGUAUUCUCCUGUAAAAAGAAAAAGGAAAUAGAAAGAGAUAGUCACUCUUCUGGCUAGACAUCUAAAGGAAAGGAAUCAAGAGAUUAGUUCAAAGCCUUAACAGAUAAUGAGACCGAGGAGAGGCGAUAAUAUAAUGCCAACACAGAUAAAGGGAGGGGAAAAAAGAAUAGCUAAUAUGUUUGUUUCUUCCACAAUGUACUCUUUAUUCAAAGCAAUUCGGGGUGCUGUUUCUUGUUUUAAAUAGGAUUCAGUAGAAGACCAGAUUUUGCCAAAUACUGAAGGCCCAAAAUUAAACAAUUAUGUGUGUGAAUUUUACUAUCUAAGAUUAUAUCUAAUAAUAGUAACUCUGUCUGCUUUGACAUAGUAAUUACUAAGUCGUUAAGAUGAAGCAAACAAUACAAAGGCAGUUAUGAAAGAUAUCACAACCCUCUUCAGUCUUGGUAUUUUCUCAUAAUAGUGUUUUCUACAACUAAACUCUUUCUCUAUUCGCUUAUUAUAUUAUGUUAUACACUUGACCAUAGCUAUAUAUGCACUUUAUUCACACAAUAGAUUCCAUAGCACUAUGAUAUGAAAGAAGCCACUAUCACAAUGCCACCAUAUAAAUUCUUUUCCUAACAUUAUCAAUUUUGUGCAGUAACAAACUGUUAGGAGCCGAAUUCCCUGGUCUUUGACUCGGUUAAAGACCUCUCUUGGGAAAAGUGUAGGGAUGCGGAACGGCUCCGAAUAAUGACCCUCGAAAUCUGCGCCCUUCGACUGGAUCAAACGAUUCGGCUGAUGAGGGAUCAUAUCAGCCAAGUUCGAAGACCUUUACUAUAGACUCGGUUCGACUGAAAGAGCCGAAUGUACAGAAAACAUAGGGUUUUGGGUCGGCUGAGGAGCGGAAUGCCUUUAUAUAUUGGAAUUAAUCUGUGAAACUAAUACAAAGGAUGAGUGUGCCUGGAGGCAUACAGACUCGGUUGAUCUAACUUAAAGUUACUCCUAGGAAAAACAGUAAAUGUGAGAAAGUAAAAGAUUACAAAUAGACUAGUUCUAGAAAAUGCGAGGACAAUGCAGAGGAAAUAAAGGUGGUCUUCUAUUCUCGGGAAAAAGACUUCUUUUCUGGGCAUUAUUUGCCUAUUUAUAGCCCGCCUCUGUUGGUCAGUUAUUGCCCCAUCCAUGAUCGGCCACUACCCUAUUUUUACGGGCUACUUCAAGCUGAUCAAAUCCGUACGUAACCACUUGCAGUUACUGUAACUUCUUGCAAUUACACCUGGCGGUUACUUAAUUUUAUUGUCAAUGCUCCCGGUGCACACCAAAAUCUACUUUAAUCCUCGCUCCUAAAGAUUUUGGGGUUGAAUGGUGCACCAGCAUACCACGUGGCCGCGCAUUAUUGGCCUAACACAAACAAAGCACCUUUGCCAAGAAAAUGCAUCAAAGCUAGCAGGAUGAAUCAUGCCUGAGAGUGUCAUGAAGAUCUGAGCAGUAUAGUAGAUAUUCUCAGGUUAGUUAAAUUUACUGAUAAGACUGAUAUCUUCAUCCACAAUACUAAAAAUGAAUUUUUGCAGAUCGCAAUCACUAGUCAGAAUAUUUCUUCCCCUUCAAUCUCAUUCCACUUUACAGAGUGGACGAUAAUAGCAUAUAUUGCAAACCAAACAAGACUGAUAGAUCAUCAGCACAUGGUAUGCUCCAUUUUGUAGGAAGAGUGCACUUAGUUUUACUAUCCAAGUUGAAUAUUAACCCCGAUAAAUGGGCCAAUUACAAAAGGGUCAUUCAUAGUCAACAGGACUCUACGGAAAUACCAAUCAGACUGGAGAUUAAUAGUUAUGUUAUGUAGAAAUGGGGGGAAAAAAAUGUUUUAAAAAUGUAUUUGCCAGAAAAUAUCAUUUCUUUUAUAGUUGAUCCUUUGGAGAGAAAACUCAAACUCUGAUAAAAGUUGAUAUGAUUUGGUACAUGCUCUCACCAGAUGGGGAGAAUCGGAGUGCAUUUACAGCAGAAGUAUGGUAUGAAAGGCUGUUUUGAUAGGAAGCUGUUGGAAGUUUCUUCUCUGAUUCUUCUGAAGCUAUAGACCAUAUCUGCAGACAAAGCGAAGAUAGACCACUAAUUAAUUAUAUAAGGAAAAAACACAAUAACAUCAUACUGUAGAGUCUUCAGAUAAUCUUAGAAAAAUAAUGAUAGGGAGGAUUAACAAAAGUUGGCAGAAUAUUUAGCAUGAAAGAUAAGCUAAUGUGAGCUAGGAUGGGGUGCUAUUAAUAGCACUGAGCCUUUUGUGCUGUAGAGUCAUUUUCAAUGCUAGGGCAUUCGUUUUGACGAUCAAUGCCGUUAAACAUGAUAGCGUGUUUGAACUUCAUAGAUUCUGAAUUUUUUUUGUAACUUUUCAACACCAUUUACUAAGUAAUCAAGCGGUCACAAAAGUGACAAUUUAAUGGCUUUUAUGAGCUGCUUUCUAGUUUAGCUAUAUAGAAACAAUCCACAUUGGUUGAAUUUUUUAGAGAAAUUUUUUUUUCUUUAGGAUAAGAUUUAAAACUUCAAUCUUGAAUUUGAAAUUUCGAUCCCCUAUUUCAGAAGGUUGUUCAGUUUUGACCCUUCAUUUUCUAGCAAGUUGAUGAACUAGAAAAUGAUUUUCAAAAAUCACGAAAUUUGGAUCCCAGAAUGUGCAAAUAUCGUAAAUCAUUUUUAACGCUAUUGAUUGUCAAACUGGAUGACCCAUCAUCGAAAACCAGUCUAUAGCACGAAGGCUUGGUGCUUUUAAUACCACAGUAGCUCAACUAUGCUAGUAGAUCCUAAUAAGAAGCACAAUUCUGCUAAUUCUUUGUGACGGCCCAUUAGUCCCACAUCGAAUAAUAUGGGAGAAUAUGGAGGGUAUAUGACGAGCAUACUAGAACUAAUAACUGAGCUUUAGCAUUUUUCGCUGGUGGUUGAUGGUUUGGGCCCAACAAGUUAUUAAUGUUAGUGGGCCAGAUCGUUACAUUAUCUACAUUUUCAGAAGACAUUUGCUAUAACACAUCACGUUAACAUUUUUAUUAUUGAACCACUAAUACUCCACAAUUUGAGUAGACCCAUUUGCUACAAAACAUAGAAAUAGCAUCUUUAUUAUAGAACUACUAAUACUCCACAAUUUGAGUAGACCCAUUUGCUACAACACAUAAAAAUAGCCUCUUUAUUAUAGAACUACUAAUACUCCACAACUUGAAAAAAAUGCAUUUGCUGGAACACAUCAAACUAGCAUCUUUAUCAUAGAACUACUAAUACUCCACAAUUUAAGAAGAUUUUUUUGUUGUAACACAUCAAAAUAGCAUCUUUAUCACAAAACUACUGAUACUGCACAAUUUGAGAAGACCAUUUGCUAUAACACAUCAAAAACGGCAUCUUUAUCACAAACUACUAAUACUCCACAAUUUGACAAGACCCAUUUGCGACAACACAUCAAAAUCGCAUCAUUAUCACAGAAUCAAAACAACGGGAGGCGAAAUCAAAGAGGCGAAAGGUAAACUCCCACCUUGAUAUCGUGAUCGCUUCCCCCGGUGGCGAGAACCCGAGACUUCGGGUGGAAAUCUAGGGUUAGGACCGGGUGGGCGUCGUGCCAAUUGAUCUGAACCGUCCCUCCCUUCAUCCUCCGCCGCUACCUAGAUCCCUCUAGGGUUUCUUCCACCUUCGCCUCGAGCUCUCGUCCGAUCGGAGCUUAGACGAGGAGCUAGGGUUUGGGUAGCUUUGGGGAUUUUGGGCAGCGGGAGGGAGAUUUUGGCGCCCUUUUCCUGGGAUUGGAGGCGGGAAGGAGAGAAAGGGUGACAAGCGAACCGGCAGUGAGAAUAAAUAGUGAGAGUUCUCAGUCACGUGAUGCUCACGAGGAGACGCCCAGUGGUAUAAAUUGCACCACGGUCCCUAACCUUUUACCUUUCUCACCUUGGAUCCUAAUUUUUUUUUCUUUUCUAGUAGGACACUCGUCUUGACACCAAUCUUGAAAUUGGUGGAUACUUUGUAAAUAUUAGUUUUGAAAUAAAUGUGCCACUUAGUUUUGCUAUAAAUUGUCUUUUUGUUUUGUUAAAAUGAAUUAUUAUAGUAUAAAAUAGUGUGUGUAUUUUAGUAUUUCUAGAAGUGUCUUUUAAAUUUUCUUUGAAAAUUAUAAGUAGGGCUGGCAAAUGAGCGAGCCGGCUCACGUUGGACUCAUGUUCGACUCGAUAUUUGGCUCGCUUGAGCUCGACUCGAAAUUAAAUGAGCCGAGUUUAAACAAAAAAAAAGGCUCGAAAUUUAUUUCAAGCCGAGCUUGAGCAUUAUUCGGCUCGUUCGAAUUAGACUCGAAAAGCUCGAAAAGCUCGAAUAUAUAUAUAUAUAUAUAGUAGAACUACUGUGCUAUCGAAAGUAUAGAAGAUCUGGUACUUUCGAUUUUUUGAUUCUUAGAUCAACCCCUUUAAUCAUUUCUUAUCUUUGGAUUAAUACUAUUAUUACAUUGUAGGAACCACUCAAUCCUAGGGGUAUUAUUUAAUCCUAGGGGGGACCGCAAUCAUCUCAACCAUAUAAUUUUGCAUAUAAUUCUUAAUCAAAAGGUCAAAAAUUCGAAAACAUCAAAUUCUCUAUAUUUUUUAUAGCAUAGUAGUUCUACACUAUAUAUAUAUAUAUAUAUAUAUAUAUAUAUAUAUAUAUAUAUAUAUUUUAAUUAUAUAUAGGCUGANGACUAAAUAAUCUCAGUUUAGUUAAAAUUGGGCAAAUAUUGUUGGCCCAUAAAAACAAAUCCAAUAAACAAAUAAAAGAGCAAAAUUUUACUAAAUUUAUACAUUUUUCCUUUCUUUCUUCAGAGCUCUAAAUUUUCAAUAUGUUUCUCUCUUUUUCUUUUUCUGUCUCUCACCCUAAGUAGCCAAGCCGGAGGCCCUCCAAGUUACCAAGUAACAGCAUAUGCCCGUCAUUGCCUACCUUUCUAUUAAUUGUAUGCUUGAGAAAAUAUACAUAAUAUUUUUAAAAUAAAAAAUUAUUAUUCAUAUAAAAUUUUAAUUUUAGUUAUAUAUGAUUGGAUAGUUUAAUCCAAUAUUUAUCUAUAUAAUUUAUUUAUUUUUGACCGCAUAAAUGAAAAUGAAUAAUAUGGAGAUUGAAGGUGGAAGAUAAGACAUGUGAGGCUGAAAAGAUUAGAUAUUCAAGUCAUAAAUUAUCUUUCUUCAUAUUAUAAUACUAUAUUUUAUAUAAUUAUUUUGUACUUUGAACUAUUAGAUAUAUUUUUGUAUCAAAUUAUAGAUAAUUUUCUAUACAAAUUAAACUAUUGAUUGUAUGAUGUUGGGAAUUUCAAGCGGCUCGUUUAGGGCUCGAGCUCGCUCGACUCGAAAUUAGGCUCGCUCGAGCUCGGCUCGAAUUAAUUUCAAUCCAAGCUUGAGCUUAAAUUUAGGCUCGAAAUUAAUUUCAAGCCGAAUUUGAGCCGAGGUAAGCUCGCUCAAGCUCGGCUCGUUUCCACCCCUAAUUAUAAGUGAAUUAAUGCGUAUGAAAGUUGAAAGGUGCUUUGUAAGUUUAAAUAUAUAUAUAUAUAUAUAUAUAUAUAUAUAUAUAUAUAUAUAUAUAACAAUUUUAAGAUGAUAAAUAAGUCAAUUUGAGUUGAAGUUUCUAUUUUUAUUGGAGAAGAGGGAUUUCUUCUUGCUUAUAUUUCUUAAGUGAAUUUCCUGUGAGAUAAGAGUGUUAUUCAACUAUUAUGUUGGUGGAUUCUGCAUAAUGGUGAGUGUGCUUUAAUUUGACGUGGUGGAUUCUAUGGUGGGUCGAGUGUUUAUUGAGUCGUAUUUGUUCUAUUUUCGCAUCCCCUCUAAGUUCCGACGCCAUAUCUUUAUAUUUUAUUAUUAUUAGAUAUCAUUAAUUUUGACAUAAUAAGUCACGUAAAUUUUAAAAAUCUCAAUUAUAGUCUGAUAGGCUUCGAUCAAUUUUAUCAUAAACUUAUUCAAAAUUCUAAAAUAGAUUAGUGGCUUACUCAGUUUGAUUCUAUAAGCUCGAAUACUUUAAAAGACAUAGUUUUCGAUCGAUUUUGUGUGUGAGGUUGAGGUGGUCGUUGGUGCAGAGAAUGACAUUGGAGAUGGUGAGAAUGAGCUCGUAGCGAUGGGCACACAAUUAUGAGAAGAGACUAAGAAUUUAAAAAAAAAAGUUAAAAUUAACAAAAUAUUCCUAUCAAUAUCCGUUUUUUCAUGUUUUCCUCAUGUCAUUAAAAAACAUACAGUUUAAAAAAUAUUUAGAGGGAGAUACGGUGUGACAAAAUAACCAAAUUGUCUUCAUAUUUUUCAUCUCCUCUCCCAUCCUCCCCCCAUUCUUGCUCAUCCCGGCGGCGAAGGAGGGUGAGGGCGUGUGUCUGGGCAUGGAUCGAGAGGUGGGCGAGAGCGAGGCGGCGGCCGAGGGCAUGGAUGAGGGUGUCAGAAAUAUUUUGGGUGUAAAAAAUAAGAUAUAAACGGAACCCUAACGAAAUGCUGACGGCGGGAGCUGAAAUGAACAUUUUUUAUUUUUCAAAUGAGUAAAGUGUAGAUUUUUAAAUAACAGAAGGAAAAGUUAAAAAGCGGACACAAAUUUUAUGUAAUUUAGUAAAAAAAUAAGUAAAGAAUAGAAACUAAUGGUGCAAAAACCUAGACGAUAAGAAUAUGAUUGUGAAGAAAAAAGGAAAAAGAUUGGAAAGAGUAGAUGGGAUUAGACCAAUGUCUUCAUCUAUUAAACUAUUUUUUAUUUUUUUAAAUUCUUUCAGACUUUAAGCAUCCCACCCCACUACUCUAACCAAACAAAAUACUAUUUUACCUACUAUCCUUCUUAUCCCAUCUACUCCAACCAAACACUAUUUUAUCAAUACCUGGACUAAACCCAAUUCUCAACCAAAUACAAAAUUAGUCUAACUCCAUCUUAACCCUGAACUUAAGCUUAUCUUUAAAAUAAUUAAUUUUUACUUAAUUCCGAACCAAGCGGUUAGAAAACAAUUGUAUCUUAUAACUUAGCAAAUAGAAAACCCUUGUUUGGGCAUCAUUUGAGAGGCUUUCACAAACCCGAUCCACUUUCCGUGAAACAUAAAUUAUGGUGGAAAACUACAUGUUUUGAAAUGUGCUACAGGUGAGGGGCUCACCAUAAAUUUUCCACCUCUCCCUGUUGCCCACGAGGAAUUCUACACUGUCAUACUUGCACCAUAUCAUCAAUAACAAGCCAAUUAUAUCCCUUUUUUUCAAACAAAAGUAGAAUAAAAAUAUUUUUUUACAAUCAUUACGGGACAUAUAUCUCUAAAAGUAAAAAUUUGAUUGAUUUGUGACGCCACGUCACCAAUGGACCCGGUGCAUUCUAGAAUUUUUCGUUGCCCAACCAAAAAGCUCCCCGUCGAUUAAUUCUCCGUAGAACCGCUUUAUUUAUAUUUUAUACUCCGGUGGAUCGUUCGAUUCUUCUUCUUCUUCUUCAGCUUCCCACACUCCACCGUCUCCUUCUCCGGCCCCAACCCCUUCCCAUCAAUGCGGAGCCGGAGCCCCUUCUCCUCCUCGUCCCCCACCUCCGCCGCCGCCGACGAGAGCCACCACCCCCACCACCCCGCGCCGCCGCCGCCGCCGCCGUGCACCCGCCUCCACCAGAUCGGCGCCGUCGCCCUCGUCGUCGCCACCUUCCUCCUCACCCGCUCCCUCGAUCGCCUCUCCUCCUCCCCCCUCCUCCCCGCGCCACAAACCACCGCCACCGCCUCCUCCUCCUCCUCCGACGCGCUCUUCGACGGCGCCGGCGCCCUCGCGUGGCCCCAGCGCGGCUACGGGCCCCGCCUCGACCUCCGGAUCUACGUCUACGACGAGGCCGAGAUCGACGGCCUCCGCGAGCUCAUGCGCGGCAGGGACGGCCGGAUCUCGCCCGAUUCCUGCGUCAAGGGCCAGUGGGGCACGCAGGUGUAAUUCUUGGAUCUUCUCCCUCGUUAAAAAUCUAUAGGAUGCCCCUUCUCUUGAUUCAGAUGUUGCUUUAGAUCGUUUGUUCACUUCAUAUUAACUGAGUAAUGCAUAGUUACUGAAUAAUGCUUGUUACUGGUGAAUCACUCGAACUCUUAUUGUAAGAUGCUACAGAAAAUCAGUUGUUUCACAUGGUAUAGUUCUUAGAACUCUAUCAAAUAAAGAUCUAUAGAAUGUUGCUUCUCUUUUGUUUGGAUGUUGCUCGGCUACUGGUUAGAUAGUGUAAGGAAUUAGGGCUUUUGGUGGGAAAUUACUUGAAUUAUUAUCAGUUAGGUUUUAGGGCUGCUUGAUGUCCGGUAUAAAUAUCGUGUGACAUGCUGAUGCGGAAACUUUCAUGUAUUUCCGCUUAUUUUGGUAAUUUUCCUUGUCAGAAUGUUCAAAUUGUGAUGCUUCUCAAAUAAUGCUUAAUAAUAUGCUUGCUGCAUUGCUUCAGUUCUCAAUAUUUGUCAACUUUUGUAUUAUGCUAAGGGUUUGGAAGAGUUUUGCAAUCAUUUUAGUUGCAUUUCUUCAACGCUGCUCGUAUUUUUCCAUUGAAGGGUCAACCGCUUCUGCUCUGUUUCUUAGCCUUUCCCCUUUUGUGUGUUUCUUUUAGGUCAAAAUUCAUCAGCUAUUUCUCAAAUCAAGGUUUCGGACGUUAAGUAAGGAUGAGGCAGAUUUCUUCUUUGUUCCAGCUUAUGUUAAAUGUGUUCGGAUGAUGGGUGGAUUAAAUGAUAAAGAGAUCAAUCAGACGUAUGUGAAGGUAAAUUUAUAAUGUUGCUAUCUUCAUCUGAAUUUUCAAUGCUUAGUAUCAAAUUAAAUGCCGAUAGGGUGCUUAGCAUUCUACAAAUUGUGAGAUACUUCUCUAUUUGAUGUGUGAUGUUUGGGUCAUGUUUCUGUUGCUUCGUGUAGAAAUAAGUGGGGCUUCCUUAUAUCUUAUGGCUUACUUCAUUACAUUGUUUUAAUUGGAGUAGCUUCUAAAGAAUGCCAUAUUGAACCUGCUUAUAGUUUUCCUGUGGAAUUUAGGUUCUAAGUCAGAUGCCAUAUUUCCGUUAUUCAGGAGGACGUGACCACAUUUUUGUCUUCCCUAGGUAUCAUCUUAUCCACUUGUGACACGAUCAUUCAUUGUUAUGUCCUCUCCACAUAUAACUUGCAUGUUCUCGUGGUCACUAUCUCAUGUAUUUCGCAUGUGCCGAAUAUUCAUUUUUUAGUUAUGUAAUCAUACCUUUUCUUAUGAAAUGCAGUGGUGCUGGCGCUACGUUAUUUCGGUCCUGGGCAACAUUUUUAAAUCGUUCUAUCAUUCUUACUCCGGAGGUAUCACAUCAAUUCAACACUCUAUCAUUCUUACUGAUCUUUGUGUCCACGAGUUGUUUGCACGUACGCAUCCCAGCAUUUGUUGGACUAUUUUCUCAGUGUAGAAACUAGUAAUUGAAGAAAGAUCAUGGGGAUUUAUGUAAUGCAACAUAUAGGUCGUUUGAUGCCAAAGUGAGCUUUCUUCAUAAAUCGAGCAGAAUUAUGAAUUGAAAUGGUCUGAGAAUACAUGAUGACCUUGGUAGUAAUAAAGAGGAAAAGCUUAAAUAGAACUAAAUGGUGGGAAACUACACAGAUUGCUUAGAUUCUUGUCGCACCAUACUAGGACUCAUGGUUUGAAUAGGCGUGCUUAGGCACUUAGGCUUAAGGCCGCAGGCACCUUGGCACUUAGUUUCAAGGCACCAAGUUUGCACCUUGGGGCUUAAAAAUGCGCCUUGACCUAGGUGUGGGCCUUGGCCUAGGCACAAAGUCCCAAUUAGUGCCAUCCAGCUAAGUUACAAGUUUCAAGUGUCGAAUGUGGAUUUUGGAUGUCUAUCUACAAGAGUGUAGAGACCCCAAAUGCAGGUCUUGAACGUGUAGGUACAUAGUUAAGCUAGAGGCUUGAUGAUUUGUGAUUUUUUGCAUUCUUAAUGUACCAAUAUGCAUCAACUGAGUGAUGAUUUUUUUUUAUGGGAAUUUAGUUUUGGUACUCUGUUAUUUUUUUGAAUCCUAACUUGCAAUUUCUUUUUGUGAUAUUAAUAUAGCCUUUUGAUGAGUUUUUAUAUUUAUUUUUUAAUGUCUUCCUCAAGUGCAUGCCUUGCGACUUCCGUGUUGAGUUUUGCCUAGGCUUUAAGAGCCCUUGCAUCUCGAUGCGCCAUGUGCCUAUUAAAACUAUGCUAAGACUACAAUGUGAUAUUUCUUAUUCUAUGAUUUUAUGCCUUCAUCAUAUUUGUAUAUUAUAUAGCAUGUUAUGCUUGUAGUUAAUAUAAACAUUGAUUUAUCACCACAUGGAGAUGGCUGCCAUCAGACAUCCUGAAUGUGUUUGUAUUCAGAUAUUACUUGUAAGAACUAUGACCAUAACUAGAGUUCAUGCAAUUUUUUGUGUUUCAAAAAAAGUUAAUGUAUACCGCAUGAUUUUCAUUCUCUCCAUUAUUUAAUUCAUAUUAUUUAACCUUUUCUUUUAUUUGCAUAUAUUGGCCAUGAUAUUUCACAUUGUGUGAAGCUCUGCCUGUUAUAUAUCCCAGGCAAUGAUUUUGACAUUUCUUGAGUUAUCUGGUGUUUUUUUUUAGGGUGACCGGACAGAUAAAAGAGAUAUGAGUGCUUUUAACACAUGGAAGGAUAUUAUUAUCCCAGGUAAUGUUGAUGAUGGGAUGACAAAGUUUAAUGGGCCGUGCUUGGUCGAACCAAUCCCUUUAUCAGAAAGAAAGCACUUGGCAAACUUUCUUGGACGUGCACAGGGUAAGGCUGGUCGUCUCCAGUUGGUGGAGCUUGCCAAGCAGUAUCCUGACAAGGUUAGGCUUUAUUACCAUAUUUUCUUUUUUAUUUUAAGAUGAAAAUAAAAGUUGUAAAGUUAUUUCAGAAGUUCUUUCAUAUAAUUGUUUGAAGUGGUUUUGUAACGCUCAAUUUGCUUGUGAUACUGUUUUAUAUUGUUUUACUUCCGUUCCUUCAGACCGUAUGCAAUAUUGAUUUUAAAUACAGUUGGAAUCUCCAGAAUUGAAGUUUAGUGGCCCUGACAAAUUGGGGAGGAUUGACUACUUCAAUCACUUGAGGAAUGCAAAGUUUUGCCUAGCUCCACGUGGCGAGUCAUCGUGGACUCUUCGCUUUUAUGAAGCUUAUUUUGUGGUCUCUCUCUCUCUCUCUCUCUCUCUCUCUCUCUCUCUCUCUCUCAACCUAGCCAUUUCAGAGAAUUCACUUUCAUUUGUAUUUGUGCUGUAUAAAAUAGCUAUUUUGUGAGAGAAUUUAAUUUAUUUUUCUGAUUUUGCAAGAUUGUUCCACUUUUUUUGUUCUUGCAACUUUUUUUUUAAUGGACCAAUACACCUCUGACGGAAAACCUCUCAUUUAUCUGUCAGAAGGAAGGUUCAGAGUAUUUUAGUCAAUAAAGAAAGAUUUAGGUUCAAAAUUCCAGAAAUAAAAUAAGUGGAUUAAAGUUGCAAAAUCGAAAAAAUCUUGGAUUUUUUUUGCAUAAAAACCUAUUUUAUUUCUAGAAGCUACUAAAUUUGCAUUUUGAGCUCAAAACAACCUCCUAAUCAACCAUAGAUUUCUGCCAUGUGGAUGACAGGAAUGCGUGCCGGUCAUUCUGUCGGAUCAAGUUGAACUACCUUUCCAGAAUGUGAUCGACUACAGCCGAAUGACAAUUAAGUGGCCAUCAACUCGAAUAGGCCCCCAACUUCUCGAAUACCUCGAGUCAAUACCUGGUGAGUCUUCUCAUGUUUCCACCUAGGGAAUAUUUAGCCUGCUAGAGCAUGUGCAUAAGAGCUAUUUGAGUAAAACUGUUAAAGAAGUACCAAUAACUUCUAAUUGAAUCUCCUCAAGAAGUUCUUUAUGCAAUAGAAGCAAAAGUUUCAAUCCGAAGCUUUUGCUUUCGGAGCCUAAAAGCUCGUUUUAGCAUCCUGCAACUAUAGAAUCUCCAGACUUUAGCCAAGAGGCUUUGUGUUUCACCCAACUUAGCUUGCAUGUUUUAGAGUAGAGAAGCUUUUAUAGCAGCUAAGCCAUAAUGGGUUCAUGACUCCACUCUCUCUCUCUCUCUCUCUCUCCUGAUACCAUAAUUUUUACCAUGUCAGAUGAAGAAAUAGAGAAGAUGAUAGCUCGGGGCAGAGAGGUGAGAUGCUUAUGGGUUUACGCCCCAGAAACUGAGCCGUGCUCGGCUAUGGUAGGAAUACUGUGGGAACUGCAGAGAAAAGUCAGGAGAUUCCAUCAAUCCUCUGAAACAUUCUGGCUUCACAAUGGAUCGAUUAUCAACAGAGAUUUGGUCGAGUUUCACAAUUGGAGAACACCUGUGCCUUUGCCCUGAUAAAUUUUUUUACAGAGCUGUAGAUUCUCUUGGAUUAGAUAGAUUUCUCUUUGUUACCCUUUUUUGAAUGAUAUUUUUGUGCUUAAAAAGCUGUAUCUGUCCACAGCCUUCUUCUUUUUCAAAGCCCUGGCAUUUCUUUCUGAGGAUUUGGUUUAAUUAGCCUGCUGAGUUCAGAAUCUCCUUCUUGAAACAUGUUUCAAUCAGAGAAAAGAUAGAGCGCUUGGUGAUAGUUGUCGUGCUAGUACUGUAAUUUCUUCUUUUUUAAAAAAAUUUGAAAGAUUAUUAUAAAAUCUUAGCAAGUUUUGCCUCCUCUAGCUUAAGGUGAUGAAAUCGCUGAUGGAGCUACUCCGGAAAGAGUGCUUUCGUAUAUGAGUACUGUAACUUGUUUCCAUUUUUUUCAUCAGCCCAUGUCUCGCCGGCACUGUGCUUCUGGUUUUGUUUUUUUCAAUGCUUCAAUGUGUGUGUCUGUUUUCAUGUGGGCUCAUUUUCAUUGUAUGUUGUUGCUUUACAAUGCUUUUGUUAGUUUAUUAGUCUUGAUGCAUGCAGAAAGUAUCUUGCGAGUAAGAAUUUUAAGUGUCGUGAUACGGGAUCGUGCUAGAAGCUUAUCGAUAUUGUACGGCACGGUGUGUGCUAGUUAUGAAAAAUACAUGUGUGCCGACACAUAAUGGUAUAAGAGAUUUAUUUUAAGUAGUAAUAAAAUAUGUCAAUUAUUUAUUAUAUAUUUUUAUUAACUUUUUGAAUUUUAUUGAGAAAAUUAUUUAUUUAUUUAUAAAAUAAAGGAUUUUGAGUUGUGUCAUCGGCAUGUGAGUUAUAUUGUACUGAUAUCUGACAUGAUACGGUAAGAUGGAUGCGAUUCGUAACGAUAGAUAUUUAAAUCCUUACUUGCAAGUAUGCCUCCAGAUUUGUUCGUGCAAGUAAAAGUGAAGAUGUGCUCAUUUUUGAAAACGAGGAUUGAUCUACUCGUCGUCUUCCUUAAAUAGGAAGAAAAUGAAAUGCGAGGAAACUUAAAAAGAAAAAAAAUUGUAUUUAUCGGUUAAAAAAUGUUGGUGACGAUAGUUUAAAUUUUCAAAAACAUAGUUUAUCGUUUACGAGUCCAAAAAUAAAUAUCAACAGUAUUCCUGAGUCGAACGAGGGACUUAAUUUGAAAACAAAAGAAGAAUACUUGAGGCCUACGUUUUGAUAAAUUCUCGUUGCGUGUGAUGACGUGGCAAACCACUAAACCCAUCUCGACCAAUAGGAAUUCCCUUCAAGGGAAGUGGGCCCCACGGGUUCGUCAUCUUCAAUCCGCACCGUCCAUCGCCACUCCGUCAAAACACCUCCAAUCCCAACCGUCCAUUCUCUCUCCUCCCGUCCCCGACUCCCGAAUAAAACGCGAAACCCCCUCCAAACCCUCGUCUCUCUCCGCCCCCUCCUCCCCCACCUUUCUCUCUUUCUCUCUCUCUCUCGAUCAACAAUGGCGGAGGGAGCCGAAGCCGCGGCGGAGGCCAUCGCCUCUCUCUCCACCUCCGACGCCCCAAGCAAGAAGUAAACCCUCUGUUUCCUCUCUCUACUGCGCCUUAUCUCUCUCUCUCUCUCACACUCUCUCUCUAACGCACUUUCUCUCUCUUUUUCCCGUCGUUUCUAGCGCCCUCAAGAAGGAGCUGAAGAAGAAGCAGAAGGAGGAGGAGAAGAGGAAGAAGGAAGAGGAGAACAUGAAAAAGAAGGUCCCUUUCUAACCCUACGCAUCUUUUCUCCCCAUUAAAGAUGUCACCUUUUGCUGCUCAAUUUCGUGUGGAUUUGGACCGAAAUUCGUUGUAUCCUGUCUCUUCAGGCUGCCGAGGCGGCGAACCCGCAGUCUCAGAAGGCGUUGGCGGCCGCCGAUGACGAAGAUAUGGACCCUACGGUUUGUUCUUCGAACCUAUAUUCUGUAUAGGUGAAAUGGUAGAAACCUUAUUUGAACUAUAGCGCAUUUUGAGAUUGGUGUUUGAACAUUUAAGAACUUUUAUUUUACCAAAUGUCCCAACUUGUUAUUGACUUUUCUACUGAGUAUUCAGUUCAGGUAUCUAUUUCACAAAUCAUAUUAGCUUAUCUGUUAGAAGAAAACCUCUCAGUUAUAAUUGUGUUGGUGAUUUUGAUCCCUGAGGUAGUGCCAGGGAUAGCCAUGGGAAUAGCACAAUUCCACCAUGCGGCAUGGAAUUGAUAUCCCAAGGGAUAAACUUGCUAUUGGGUUAUCUCUCGCCAAACAAUUUAGUGUUUGGGGAUGCUAUCCCCGCCCUGUUCGCCAACCAAACACUUCCUUGAGGUUCAGGUACCCAUUUCAAAAAUGCUUUAUAUUUAAGGUAAGGUAUGUACGUGGGUAAAUUGAGAUGCAUAUAAUCUGUUUGAUAAAAUGCCUCUGAUUGUCAUUGGUGGUGGCAGCAAUACUAUAACAAUAGGCUCAAGGUGCUUAGUUCUUCGAAGGAGGUCGGUGUUAACCCGUACCCGCAUAAGUUUCAAGUGUCCAUGACAAUUGUGGAAUAUGUGGAGAAGUAUGGAAGUUUGAGUGAUGGGGAGCACCUUAAGGAAGUUGAAGUUAGUUUAGCAGGUAGAGAUGCAGUGUUUCAUGGAAUGUUUUCUCAAAUGAAGAUGGUGCUUCUUUGCAUGCUUUUCUUUUUACUGUUUUCGAUGGUAAAAUCUUUUUUUUUUUUUUUCAAAAUCUCUUGUAGGGAGGAUUAUGAACAAGAGAGCUUCUUCGUUAAAGCUUUUCUUUUAUGACUUACAUGGCAGCGGGGCUAAAGUUCAAGUGAUGGCAGAUGCCAGGUAUCAAUCACUUACUUGGGCCAUCUUUCUGUGGCAUCUUUUCUUGAUGAAUUUAUGAAAUGUUAUUCUCUUCAUUACAGCACUAGUAUUGUUAGAUCAGAGCUGUCCUUCUAAGGAUUGCAGUAGUUUGAAUUGAUUGGGCAGGCUUUCUCCUUUUACAAGCUGGUUUCAACACUUAUCAAAUGGCAAAACUUAUAACCUUUUGUAUUAAUACAAACCUUUUUAGCAUGUAUCAAUUUUUUAAAGAGGGUAGGGUGCAUACGUAAAACCAAAAGGUGAACAGAAUAAAUGUCAUAAUUGCUUCUAAUUCCUUGUCAAAUGAUAUCAAGAAAGCAAUCUACUGGACAAUAUUAUUAUUUGUUUUAUAAAAUAUUUUACUUGGUAUCUUUUCAAAAUUUUUAUUAGGGACUCUGACAUGGAUGAAAAUGAAUUCUCCAAAUACCAUGCUGGUGUCAAACGUGGUGAUAUUGUUGGCAUCACUGGCUAUCCAGGUUAGUUAAUUAGCGUCAACAUUCUUGCAGUAAUUUUAAGCUUCUUUUCUCGAUUGACAUUUUACCCCUUCAUACUUCACUGAUGGUGUCAUCUAAUCAGUCUGCUUGUUAGUCUGUUUUUGUUAUUAUGAGAACAUAACAUCUUGAUCUGUCCUUGUGAUUUGUCAUGCUGAAGUAAAGAGGCAUAAAUUUGUCCAGUGAGACAGUAGAAUAAAAUGUUUCUGGGUUGACAAAAUUUAUUUAUAUCUGAUUCAGGAUGCUUUAAGUAGUAAUUCAUGUUUGCAGGUGCAUUAUUGUUAAGUUGCUGUUUCUGUGCUACAGGUAAGAGUAAGAGAGGAGAACUCAGUAUUUUCCCCAAGAAGUUUAUUGUCUUAUCGCCUUGUCUUCACAUGAUGCCAAGGCAAAAGGCUGGCCCUAGUGUUGCUAAUGCUUCCGCAAAGGUGAGCAUAUGAGCAAAGAAAUAAAAUCACGUUGUGGCUUUGAUCCAUGCUGAAAAUAGUUGAUCUCCUGCUCUUAUUUCCUUAAAUUGCACUUUGACCGCAGAAAAAUGAAGAAAGACCAACACCUUAUGUGUGGGUUCCAGGAAUGACUAGGAAUCCUGAGACAUAUGUUUUAAAAGAUCAGGUAUAUGACUCAACUUUAUGAGUACAAUUACAAACUGAAAUGAGUAUAGUCUAUAUAGGUUUAAAUUAUUUAUAAUUUGAGUACAAAUGUUUAGAUUAUUCAUAAUUUUGUUUUUCAAAUGUUGGUUAAAUGUCACUCUCCUGUUGCUCUUGACUGCAGUAUUACUGUUUCUAAUUGCAUUGAACACUGGUGCUCUUACACUAUUCGACUGUAUUUCAUACCAAGUCUUCAUGUGUCCUAUAUGCUUGUCGAUGACUUUUCCUUCCUCUACUUCAAUUAUUACUUUGGGCUUCUACAUAUAUGGAUAAAAAUACUACAUCAACUUGAGAUUUUACUAGCUGAUCGAAAUACACAGCAAUAAAAAAGAAGUUAUAGUAACUGAGGAUUGAAUUGAAGCAUAGUUGGUGUUCAGCCGUAGAUUGCUACUGGUUCUAACUGACUUUGAUCCAUGGAUAAAACUUAAUUAUGGUU
This 30007-nucleotide long non-coding RNA is filed under the name Ananas comosus (pineapple). Its description in RNAcentral is "long non-coding RNA (ACOM_LNC008535)". Lineage: Eukaryota; Viridiplantae; Streptophyta; Magnoliopsida; Poales; Bromeliaceae. The record is from RNAcentral.